GCGUCUUUGGGGUUGUUGGGGCCUGCUCCCGGUUUGUGUCCGGGGGAGGGCGGUUCGACCCACAGGUUGCG
Molecule: transfer RNA, 71 nt
Filed under: Actinoallomurus iriomotensis
Lineage: Bacteria; Bacillati; Actinomycetota; Actinomycetes; Streptosporangiales; Thermomonosporaceae
Description: tRNA-Thr
Source: RNAcentral